UACGAGGGGGGCUAGCGUUGCUCGGAAUGACUGGGCGUAAAGGGCGCGUAGGCGGUUUGUAAAGUCAGGUGUGAAAUUCCCGGGCUCAACCUGGGGGCUGCACUUGAUACGUAUGGACUGGAGUGGGGAAGAGGGUCGUGGAAUUCCCAGUGUAGAGGUGAAAUUCGUAGAUAUUGGGAAGAACACCGGUGGCGAAGGCGGCGACCUGGUCCUUGACUGACGCUGAGGCACGAAAGCGUGGGGAGCAAACAGG
RNAcentral lists this ribosomal RNA (253 nucleotides) under uncultured bacterium. Its description in RNAcentral is "partial 16S ribosomal RNA". It matches the Rfam family "Bacterial small subunit ribosomal RNA", at positions 524 to 776 of the family's 1533-position model. The record is from RNAcentral.